Molecule: long non-coding RNA, 3856 nt
Filed under: Homo sapiens (human)
Lineage: Eukaryota; Metazoa; Chordata; Mammalia; Primates; Hominidae
Description: LHRI_LNC1434.2
Source: RNAcentral
AACCCCUUUCACUUGGCUCUCAUUCUUCUUGUCUGCUGCCAUAUGAGAUGUACCUUUCACCCUCCACCAUGAUUGUGAGGCCUCUCCAGCCACAUGGAACUGACAGCACAUGUGGCUUUCCUGCAAUGGGAUCGUCCUUCAAGAGGACCUCACAGGCUCUCCACCCGGACUGUGACGUAAGCAGCUGCAGCAGCCUUGGAUGUUUCUGGAUAGCCAGCCCCAUGAGAACAGCUUUAAAAUAGGAGACUGGCAUUGUGAUGAAGUGUGGACUUCGCUGUCAUAUAGACCUGGAUUUAAAUCCUGGCUUCAGUGUUUAUGGAUGACGUUGGACAAGUCAUUUAACCUCCUUAAGUCUCAGAGUUCUCAUUACGGAAAUGGAGCUCUUAAUAGUACCUACCCCCUAGUGUGGUUGUGAGGGUUGAGAUCAUCUAUGUUCAAAGUGCUUAUUAUACAGAGACGGGGACAUGUAAGUGCUACAUAAAUGUUAGCUUUUAUUAGUCACUGGAGUGGAGGAGAGAGGACUGUUGCCUCCUUGUCAAUGUCCCCAUCCUGGGAAGCCUGCCUGUGUGCACCAAGGCCCAUCUGACCCAUAUAUCAGAAAAGGUGCCCUUCUAGGGAGCGACACCCCCCACCAAGCCCCCCAGUCGCUGUCCAUGCUUUCCUCUAGGUUCAAAAUGCAGCUGCAUCUGUGCAGAAACCAGGUGUUGCCUGUGAGUUCUGCCUCGCUGGCCAGAGGUGGAAGGAAGGAGGAAAGGAGAGGGGCCUCCAUACUUCCAGAGCCCCACUGGGGGUUACCUUCGCUUGCCCCCACUCUUUUUGUCUUGCUCUGAGGAUGCCAGGACUUUAAGGACAUUGUCAGCGAGCACAGAAAGAAUCUCAGUCAUCUGGACUGCUUUGUGCUAUAUGAAAAUCUCUGAGAACCUUCAAGAGCCCAAAAACAGUUCUCCUCCAUGCUGUAUGCCAUGGUCAGUGGUUAAAGAGAACAUUUUGUUCCACUCCUCCAGCUCUGCCUUAGAAACCCAAGCCCUGCACUCCAAGGCUCCUGGCAUCGUACACCAGCACCAGCAAUUUUCUGCCAAAAGCAUCAGCCAAAAUCUAUUCUAUCUAUUUCAGUUCCUCUCUUUUCAUCGGAUUGUAUUUUUACAGGUGAUUGCUGAUUCUCACACUGCUCUUCAGAUUCAUGUACAGCUGUGGUCUGAAUGUGUGUGUUUUCUCAAAAUUCAAGUUUAAAACUUAAUCCUCAAUGUGAUAGUAUCAACAGCUGCGGCCUUUUGGAAAGUGAAGGUGGAGCCCUCGUGAGUGGGAUUAGAGCUCUUAUAAAAGAGAUUGAAGGGAGCUACCUAGCCCUUCCAUCUCUUCUGCCUUGUGAGGACACAGUGUUCAUCCCUUUUGUCUUCCCACCAUUUGAAGAUGCAGAAAGAAGGUGCCAUCUUGGAAGCAAAGAGCAGCCCUCACCAGACACCAAGUCUGCUGGCACCUUGAUCUUGGACUUCCCAGCCUCCAGGACUGUGAGAAAUGAAUUUCUGUUGUUUAUAAAUUACCUAGUCUAAGGUAUGCUGUUACAGUAGCAGGAAUGGACUAAGACACACAUUGUCAAAAUCUUCAUGAGUUAAAGGUGAAGGUACAAUCAGAACUGGUGCAUGGAAUUGGAACCAUAGGUCUUAGUAAACACUGUAAAAAUGCACUAUUCAAAUCUACAGAAAAUGCUCUCUCUUCAAGUUCAGAAAGAAGCUACAAUCUGCUUUUCCUUUUUUUCUGAAGGGAAGUAAAAUUCUAUGUUUCUGGACUAAGAGGUCUACACCCCAGUCUUUCUCUUUCUGACAUGUAUAGUAAUCUUUGGCAAAUUACUCAAGCUUUCUUUGUUCUGGUGAAAAUAAAGUGCACAGGACAGUAUUACUAAGAGGCCUGAGCAACAUUAGAGGUUGAUAACGAUGGUUCCAAAGGCCUUUAAGAAGGUGUAAUGCUAUGUGGAUGUUUUUAUUGAAACCUUCCCUGGGUUUUCAGAAUUCUCUUUGGAAUUAGUCCUGUGGGAAUAUGCCUUUUGGGAUCUAUUCUCACCUCUUAUUCAGUCCCCCUUUUCUUGCAUUACAAUCUACAAUUUGAAGUUAUUCUGUCAUUUAAAAAUUAGGUCCAUGACCUCAUCAUCACCGGGUUUUCCUCUCCAGGCCAUUUCCAGUAGAAUGUUGGUCAUAUUCUCAUGUGAGAGAACAAAUCAGUUAUUCAUUACAUCUGAUCAAUGAGCUAGUACUACACCAUAAGGAAGUGUAGUAAAACCAGAAACUGGGAAACACCCGAAAAAAUUUGCUUUGUCCUGUGUUUUAAUUUGGGGUAUGAUAAAGUGCCACAGGACAUUAAUCCAGGGACUGAGAUAGACUCUUAAGUUUGGCAAUCAGUGAAAGAACUUGCUGAAUCUCUCUAGAAUUAACCUAAAGGAGCCAGCCUCUUUUCUCAUGAGAACAAUUUAUUUUAGGGUUAGUGGUGAAUUAAUUCUACAGUGUUUAAUUCCACAUAUAAACUUCAUUUUCUAUAUAAAUGUUUUGUUGUAACAUAUUCAAUUACUUCCUUUUGUUGUUUUUCUGCAACAUUCCCUUUUUCACCUUUUCUAACCUCUUAAACCAAAUAAAAAACUCACUUAUCUUCUUGCUGUUGUAAUAUUUGCUUUCCUUUCUUGUUUAUACUCUGUAAUGAUGUUUACCCGAUCUGUCCACAUCACCUGGAUUCCAGGUGUACCAUUCAUGCCCUGGGGAAAGCAGUCAUUCUUCAAGGCAACAGAUGCAAGAAUGAGCUCAUGUCAAAUGAUAUUUUCUGAUUUUUUUCUCCAGAUGUGGGGAACGAAAUUGGAUCUUGUGCUUUUGGGUGCUAACUUUGAGCCCUCUUCCUUUACAUCUAAAUGACAAUUUGUGGAUCAAUGAGGAUGUGUCAACUAGCCAAGAUCGAGGACCUGGAGGGGUGCUCUGUGGAAACUGCUUUAAAAUCCUUCAGAGGGUGGGCACGGAGCUCUGGUUCUGGUUGAAGAGUCCUGUCAAGGCCAUCUCAAAAGGAGAAGCAAAGCCUGCAGAGGAGGCCAGCCUGAGUCCUGGGGUGCGAACGGGUGCUGCGCUCAGCAUGAGGAGGAGGAGACCCUGGCCACAGUUCCAUGAAUCUUUGCUCCCUUCCACAUUAUGGAUUCUGGUAAAUUCAUUGGCCUACGCAAGUCUGAGCUCUAGGUCUGAACCCGCAUGGACCUGAGGGUGCACCGAGAAAAGAAAGGCUGACAACUGGAUCCCGGGAAUGUCAAGGCCACCCUGGGCUUGAAGGGACCGGCCAUGCCUCCAAGCCUUGCCCAGAGAGGGGGUUCAGGAUGCUGCGUGGUUCCAGGUGAUCUAUUGCUUUCUCGAGUUUAAAGUUCAGAGGAUCAUGAAGUACCACAGCUGGAAGGGGUGUAAGUGACACUGCCUAGCCUAACUCUCUUAAAAAUCAUAGCCCUACUCCUGCCUCCCCAAAUCAGAUACGACAGGCAUAGGCUCUGACUGUUCCUUAAGUCUUAGUGGCAAUACUCCCUGACCAGUUUUGCGGGGUUGCUCCCAGUUCCAUUGCUUUUGUAACAGGUGGCCAGAAAGCCUGGGGUCCCGUGAUAAGAGUUUCAGUUCUUUCCAGGAUGGAUGGAAAGAAGGAAGGAAGGAUGGAUGGAUGGAUGAAUGAAUGAGCGGGUGAGCGGAUGGAUGGAUGGAUGGAUGGAUGGAUGGAUAGAUGGGCCAGAGACUGGGAACGGUAAUGCCGGCCAGACGGGUCCGAGCGCCUCGGGAGCCCCAGCCCUCCUCCGGCUGCGGGGCCGCUGCUCCUGCUCCCGGGCCGUCACGGAGCCCUGAGGGAGGGG